This 421-nucleotide ribosomal RNA is filed under the name Salmonella enterica. Its description in RNAcentral is "bacterial SSU rRNA". It matches the Rfam family "Bacterial small subunit ribosomal RNA", at positions 352 to 765 of the family's 1533-position model. RNAcentral also lists the same sequence under 1 other name. The record is from RNAcentral. Lineage: Bacteria; Pseudomonadati; Pseudomonadota; Gammaproteobacteria; Enterobacterales; Enterobacteriaceae.
CAGUGGGGAAUAUUGCACAAUGGGCGCAAGCCUGAUGCAGCCAUGCCGCGUGUAUGAAGAAGGCCUUCGGGUUGUAAAGUACUUUCAGCGGGGAGGAAGGUGUUGUGGUUAAUAACCGCAGCAAUUGACGUUACCCGCAGAAGAAGCACCGGCUAACUCCGUGCCAGCAGCCGCGGUAAUACGGAGGGUGCAAGCGUUAAUCGGAAUUACUGGGCGUAAAGCGCACGCAGGCGGUCUGUCAAGUCGGAUGUGAAAUCCCCGGGCUCAACCUGGGAACUGCAUUCGAAACUGGCAGGCUUGAGUCUUGUAGAGGGGGGUAGAAUUCCAGGUGUAGCGGUGAAAUGCGUAGAGAUCUGGAGGAAUACCGGUGGCGAAGGCGGCCCCCUGGACAAAGACUGACGCUCAGGUGCGAAAGCGUGGG